RNAcentral lists this transfer RNA (76 nucleotides) under Candidatus Obscuribacterales bacterium. Its description in RNAcentral is "tRNA-Glu". It matches the Rfam family "tRNA". From Rfam's summary of the family: Transfer RNA (tRNA) molecules are approximately 80 nucleotides in length. Lineage: Bacteria; Bacillati; Candidatus Melainabacteria; Candidatus Obscuribacterales. The record is from RNAcentral.
GCCCUCAUCGUCUAGAGGCCUAGGACACCUCCCUUUCACGGAGGUAACACCGGUUCGAAUCCGGUUGGGGGUACCA